Molecule: unclassified non-coding RNA, 21 nt
Filed under: Mus musculus (house mouse)
Lineage: Eukaryota; Metazoa; Chordata; Mammalia; Rodentia; Muridae
Description: oocyte_clustered_small_RNA12685
Source: RNAcentral
AAGCAUACAAUGAGCUAACAG